AAAAAAACAACAACAACGGGGAUUCAGGAAACUCCCACCACCGCUGCCACCAAUGUAACCGAGCGUUCUGGGUUCGUGAAUACGCAAAACAAAACAACAACACUCACGUGCUCCCCAUGCCGUACAACCCAGCGAACUCUCGCUCUCCGGCAACUAGAAAGGACGCACCUUCUUCUUCUUUAUGUUUUUUUCUGGCGGUUGGCACGCAACGAAACGGUGCAUUACCGCCACCAACUGGUUUGGAGUGUGGAUCAGAAUGAAUUAUAAAUUAAACCAAACUACCAAAACAAACACCCCCAAAAAAAAUAAAAAAAAUAAAAAAUAAAAUCCUAUCAAUUAAAUUACUUAAUCUAAGAUAAUGAAACAUAAUCCCAUAACACUCAUCUCUUGAAUUACUUCUAAGCAUUUCUAUUAAAUCAAAUUUUAUUCUUUUCUUUUUUAAAUUUUUAACCAUUUCCCUUCUUUCUUCUUCAUAUUUCUUACAGUAUAUCAUAAUAUGCUCAACUGUUUCUUGUUCCCCACAAUAUUCACAUCUUCCAGUGUUAUGCUUCCCUAUUUUGAAUAAUGUUCCAUUUAAUCCUGUGUGCCCAAAUCUAUGUCUUGAUAUGAUUGUUUCUUCCCUUCUGCUACUCCCUGCACAACUUAUUUAUCCCACUCUCCUCUGAAUCAUGUACAGCCACCGUCCUUUCCUCUCUUCCUCCCAUUGCUUUUGCCACCUUUCCUUCAUCUUCUGUUUAAUAAUGCUCUUUACUUCCAUCUUACUAACUUUAAUUGAGAUAUCUAUGUUUUCUCUAAUUGUAGCCUCCUUUGCAACCUUAUCUGCCAUUUCAUUUCCUUUUAUUCCCAUAUGUGCUGGUACCCACAAAAAUAUAACUGUAAUUCCCAUCAUUUGAAUUCUGAACAAUGUUUGCUGGAUUUCUAUUAAAAUAUCUGGUCUACUAUCUGAAUGACUUCUCUGUAAACUGAUUAAUGAUGAAGAUGAAUCUGAACAAAUUAUUACUCUGAGAGGUCUUAUUUCCUCUACCCAUUGUACUGCCAACAGAAUUGCUACCAUUUCUCCUGUAUAUACUGAUAUGUUAUCACUGAUCCUCUUUCCUAUUGUAAUUUUAAACUCUGGAACAAUAACUGAUACUCCUAUCUUAUUAACUAAACUUUUUUGAUGCAUCUGUGUAUAUCUGAAUGAAACUAUAAUAACUGUUAAUAUAUUUCUGUAUUGUAUCUGAAUUCAAAAUAAACUCCCUAUCUUUGUU
Fundulus heteroclitus (mummichog) is the source of this 1250-nucleotide long non-coding RNA. RefSeq lists it as uncharacterized. The transcript is spliced from 2 exons. The record is from RefSeq and is a predicted model, not a curated record. NCBI's taxonomy places the organism in Eukaryota, Metazoa, Chordata, Actinopteri, Cyprinodontiformes, Fundulidae.